RNAcentral lists this transfer RNA (90 nucleotides) under Sphingobacteriales bacterium 50-39. Its description in RNAcentral is "tRNA-Ser". It matches the Rfam family "tRNA". Rfam says of the family: Transfer RNA (tRNA) molecules are approximately 80 nucleotides in length. Lineage: Bacteria; Pseudomonadati; Bacteroidota; Sphingobacteriia; Sphingobacteriales. The record is from RNAcentral.
GGAGAGGUGCCAGAGUGGUCGAUCGGGACGGUCUCGAAAACCGUUGUGCGGGCAACUGUACCGAGGGUUCGAAUCCCUCCCUCUCCGCUA